Molecule: ribosomal RNA, 292 nt
Filed under: uncultured bacterium
Lineage: Bacteria
Description: partial 16S ribosomal RNA
Rfam family: Bacterial small subunit ribosomal RNA
Source: RNAcentral
GUGCCAGCAGCCGCGGUAAGACAGAGGUCUCGAGCGUUAGGCGGAAUCACUGGGCUUAAAGCGUGUGUAGGUGGAUUUGUAAGUACCUUGUGAAAUCCCACGGCUUAACCGUGGAACUGCUUGGUAUACUGCUUAUCUUGGGCCAUCUAGGGGUUACCGGAACAAACGGUGGAGCGGUGAAAUGCGUAGAUAUCGUUUGGAACGCCAAUGGUGAAAACAGGUAACUGGGGAUGUGCCGACACUGAGACACGAAAGCCAGGGGAGCGAACGGGAUUAGAUACCCCUGUAGUCC